This is a long non-coding RNA of Brassica rapa (field mustard), 1707 nucleotides long. RefSeq lists it as uncharacterized. The record is from RefSeq and is a predicted model, not a curated record. NCBI's taxonomy places the organism in Eukaryota, Viridiplantae, Streptophyta, Magnoliopsida, Brassicales, Brassicaceae.
AAAUAUUCAAAAAAUGUAUAAAAAGUUUAAAUUUGGAAAAGUAUAAUUUGACAACAUAAAAAAAGAAAAAUGAAUUUUUUUUAUUUUUUAUUUCUAUUUUUUGUUUAUUUAUUUAAAUAAUAAUUUAUUAUAAAUAGAAAACAAAGGUAUAAGAGUUUUUUUAUUCUUAAUGAACAAAAUAUUUUUGAAAAUAUCUCUUUAGUGGUCUAAACAUAAAUAAUGAUACCCAAAAAGUGGUAAAAGUAAAAGUAAAAGUUCCCUAUUUAUUUAUAAUUUUUUUUUCAUACAUCUUAAAAGAUCAUGUAUUCUCGAACAUGGAUUUUGUGCAACAUUAUUCAUUAUCUCCUGCAAUCCUUCUUUAUUCAAUUAACCAUUUGUAUAAGUUAUAUCAAAUCCACUAUUAUUCAAAGGUAAACAAAUUUAGAAAAGAAUAUGAAGAAUUUUCAUGUUUACCACAUUGUUACCAUAUAGAGUUAUUAAUUUGUAAAAAUUUCAUUUUUAGAUUCUAUCUACUUUAUAAUAUAUUUUUAAUAAAAUAAAAUAUAAUAGAUUUUAUCGUAUAUAAAUUAAUUAAAUUUUAGAAAUUGACUUUCAUAUUUUUUUACUAUGUCAUUUUGUGUAAAUGAUAUAUGUUAUAGAAUUUAAAUGUGGUUUUUGGAUAGACUUUUACUUAAUAUUAUCUAAAUAUAUUAAAGUGUUCAAAAAAAUAGAGAAGGAUUCCAUAGUGAGUAAGAAAACAAACAUGAUGUUUUGUUUGUAUUUAUAAUUGUCAUGGAACCAUAUAUUUAUAAAGUUCUUUUGUAAAAAUAUCUUCUUAUUAUUUUAUCAAUUUGUUUUAUAUUUUAUUCUGAUUUCGGGUUGAAAUCAUGUGCGUAGGUGCUGGGAACCACGAAUUAAAUACUUACCUAACCAAAUAUCAGCUAGAUUUGAUCCUCAGUUUGGGGAACUUGUUGGAAGGUUUGAUUCCAUUGUGUUUUGAACUGUUACUUAAGACCAAAUGUUUUAAAACUUGAAGGAAUUGCAGGCAUAGCAGGAAACCAUGGCCCAGGUUUAUCAAUGCAGACACCCUAACACUUAAGUCUCACCAGAGGUUCUAAACUGUCUUGACGCUAUAAUAUAAACUUUUUCAUUUCGUUCCGAGUGUAUUGACUUCGUUUGUAUGUAAAUUUUCAGGCCAUUAAUUUUCUCGAGAAGCAUCUUAGGUAUGAUCAUCAUCAAGACAGACUAACCGCAGGAGAAGCCAUGGCCCAUCAAUAAUUUGCUAAGUUAAAGCUGCAGAGAGCAGCAGACUACGGACUCUGUGAAAACCAAAGCUUGAAGGUUUAUACUAUUUUGUAGUAUCAAACAUUGUAAUGUUGUGUAAUAUUAUCUUAAACACACACAAGUUGUUGUAUCAAAACUGUUGUUGUCUAUACCCCUCUUUUGUAGACAUAAUUGAAAGGAGAAGCAAAUAUUGAAGAACAUUAAAAGAAGUUCCAAACAAAGCUUCAUAGUAUAACCAUAAUAAUAGUAGUAAGAGACUUAGCGUUGAAACAAGUCUUUAGUAAAAACAGAAACAGGAACAGAAACAGAAACCAUAAGUUUUGUUGACCCGAGACACUUGAAUGAUACAACAAACAUAGGAGACGGAUCCAUACAUUUACAUUGGAAUCCUUUUUUGGUGAGAAAUGAUAGUUUCUAUCACUUGCUGAGGUGAGGGAAGCAAGC